GGGUUCUGGUUAUAUGAUUUUGCAGGUUGAGAAUGAUGGUAUGAGUCGGACGCAGUGGUUGCUGAGCUAGCUGUUGGGGUAUAGGUGAGAAGGAGAUGGAUGCUUGGGCCGAGAGAGGCGAGACGAAGAUGGUGGAGAUGGUACCGGCGAGGGGAUUGGGUUAUUGAUUCGGUGGUGUGUGAAGACGUGGUGGUGGUGGUGGUGAAUAUGAGUUAUUAGAAUUGAUUUUAGAAAUCAAUGGGGAAGAGUGAGAGGGUUUGGCUUGAAAUAUUGGUUGUUCUUUGUUGGUUCAUCGCAGGUAAACCGUGAGCAGGGUGUAACAAGAAAAUGGCAACGGGGAUGUUAAUGAAUCAUGUGUGAAGGCCUUUGUUAAAAGGAUUUGGUUAAAGAAGAAGCACAUUCAUGCGUUGGAUGACGACAGAGAAAAGGAAAAAAAAUCAUUCCAUAACACCAUAUUCAAUUCGAAACAGAGCAAGAGCAAUAUCAAGCAGCGUACAUCGCAACUAGCUUACAUGUCGAUUAUGCAAGGUGUGAGUAAAGUGCACUUACUUCUCGGAGUUCUAUUUACCGUUGCUCUUAGUGUCUCCGGUGGUUCUUUCCCCUUCUCUGGCUGGCGAUUCCUUCCUCUUCUCUGGCUGGCUGGUCUCUGUUUUGCUCUCUGCAGGUGGAACCAAGAAGUUCUCUCACGCCGUGGGUGCUCUGUUCUCCGUUUUGCUUUGAUUUUGUGUUUUGUGUGAUGGAAAGGGUGGUUGCUCCAGACCAUUAAUGGGGGAUGAAUGGUGUCUCUGAGAGAUGAUAUAGGUGUAGUGGAUGAUCGGUUGGAGCAAUGAGGUGUGGUUUUUUUUUAUGGUGAAUACGAUUGUGGUGACGGGUAAAUGUGAGUUGUCUGUGAUGAAUUCUGAAGGGUGGUGAUGAAGAUGUCGUGUGUGAUGAGGAUGUAGAAGUGGAGAGGUAGGAAUGGUGAGAAGGUCAGAAUGAUAUUGGUGAAGGAGGUGGAAACGUAUAGAGGAGCUGAGUAGUGGAGGGCAGUGUGGUGUCCCUCGAGGAGUUGAGAGUAGUCUUUCCUUAUCACAGGCCAAGGUCCAGUCCCUACUCCGCUGCCAUCUAGCCACCCCUACAAAUUUUACUCUGCAAUCUAGCCACCUAUUACCUGCUAUCAUGGCCAGAGACGAUCUUCCCACUUUUGGUAAUUAGCCAAAGGAUGUUGGUUAGUGUGCAUGAGUGCUCAAAAUAUUUGCACCGCAAAUGGAGGAGAUAGCGUGCAAAACCGCAGAGUUGAC
Molecule: long non-coding RNA, 1280 nt
Filed under: Vigna radiata
Lineage: Eukaryota; Viridiplantae; Streptophyta; Magnoliopsida; Fabales; Fabaceae
Description: long non-coding RNA (VRAD_LNC012809)
Source: RNAcentral